GAGGGACCUUCAUUGGUUUAGAUCGUCAAAGAUACUUCUGGCUUUUGAUUUCCAUUAGGAUUUGGGUCGAGGAGCAGAUAAAGGGGUAUAGCUAUUGAAUCACUGAGGUGGGCUCCUCGAUCGAUGACUCUUCGAUGGUCGAGAGGAUUCUCCUUCCAUCUGGGUCGUUGUUUGAGAAUCUUCUCAACCCCACUUCUUG
Molecule: long non-coding RNA, 199 nt
Filed under: Elaeis guineensis (African oil palm)
Lineage: Eukaryota; Viridiplantae; Streptophyta; Magnoliopsida; Arecales; Arecaceae
Description: long non-coding RNA (EGUI_LNC046429)
Source: RNAcentral